This 466-nucleotide ribosomal RNA is filed under the name uncultured bacterium. Its description in RNAcentral is "bacterial SSU rRNA". It matches the Rfam family "Bacterial small subunit ribosomal RNA", at positions 355 to 825 of the family's 1533-position model. The record is from RNAcentral.
UAAGGAAUAUUGGUCAAUGGAGGCAACUCUGAACCAGCCAUGCCGCGUGCAGGAAGAAGGCCCUAUGGGUCGUAAACUGCUUUUGAACAAGAGAAAACCCCGGUACGUGUACUGGGUUGAUAGUAUUGUUAGAAUAAGCAUCGGCUAACUUCGUGCCAGCAGCCGCGGUAAGACGAAGGAUGCAAGCGUUAUCCGGAUUCAUUGGGUUUAAAGGUGCGUAGGCGGACUGAUAAGUCAGUGGUGAAAUCUCUCGGCUUAACCGAGAAACUGCCAUUGAUACUGUUAGUCUAGAGUACAGAUGAUGUGGGCGGAAUAUGACAUGUAGUGGUGAAAUACUUAGAUAUGUCAUAGAACACCGAUUGCGAAGGCAGCUCACAAAACUGUAACUGACGCUGAGGCACGAAAGUGCGGGGAUCAAACAGGAUUAGAUACCCCCGUAGUCCCUGAGCGGGCUGGCAAGGCGCAU